Molecule: unclassified non-coding RNA, 328 nt
Filed under: soil metagenome
Description: partial contains 5.8S ribosomal RNA, internal transcribed spacer 2, and large subunit ribosomal RNA
Rfam family: 5.8S ribosomal RNA (bases 1-120)
Source: RNAcentral
GAUGAAGAACGUAGCGAAAUGCGAUAAGUAAUGUGAAUUGCAGAAUUCAGUGAAUCAUCGAAUCUUUGAACGCACAUUGCGCCCUCUGGUAUUCCGGGGGGCAUGCCUGUUCGAGCGUCAUUAUAACCACUCAAGCUCUCGCUUGGUAUUGGGGUUCGCGGUUCCGCGGCCCCUAAAAUCAGUGGCGGUGCCUGUCGGCUCUACGCGUAGUAAUACUCCUCGCGAUUGAGUCCGGUAGGUCUACUUGCCAGCAACCCCCAAUUUUUACAGGUUGACCUCGGAUCAGGUAGGGAUACCCGCUGAACUUAAGCAUAUCAAAAGCGGAGGA